This 490-nucleotide ribosomal RNA is filed under the name uncultured bacterium. RNAcentral describes it as "partial 16S ribosomal RNA". It matches the Rfam family "Bacterial small subunit ribosomal RNA", at positions 30 to 507 of the family's 1533-position model. The record is from RNAcentral.
AUUGAACGCUGGCGGCAGGCCUAACACAUGCAAGUCGAACGGUAACAGGAAGAAGCUUGCUUCUUUGCUGACGAGUGGCGGACGGGUGAGUAAUGUCUGGGAAACUGCCUGAUGGAGGGGGAUAACUACUGGAAACGGUAGCUAAUACCGCAUAACGUCGCAAGACCAAAGAGGGGGACCUUCGGGCCUCUUGCCAUCGGAUGUGCCCAGAUGGGAUUAGCUAGUAGGUGGGGUAACGGCUCACCUAGGCGACGAUCCCUAGCUGGGCUGAGAGGAUGACCAGCCACACUGGAACUGAGACACGGUCCAGACUCCUACGGGAGGCAGCAGUGGGGAAUAUUGCACAAUGGGCGCAAGCCUGAUGCAGCCAUGCCGCGUGUAUGAAGAAGGCCUUCGGGUUGUAAAGUACUUUCAGCGGGGAGGAAGGGAGUAAAGUUAAUACCUUUGCUCAUUGACGUUACCCGCAGAAGAAGCACCGGCUAACUCCGUG